Molecule: long non-coding RNA, 672 nt
Organism: Chinchilla lanigera (long-tailed chinchilla)
Lineage: Eukaryota; Metazoa; Chordata; Mammalia; Rodentia; Chinchillidae
Exons: 3
Source: RefSeq, a predicted model, not a curated record
GCCCAGCUCCAGGGUGCCUCCCACUCUGCCCAGCAGGGCCUCGAGGUGCCGGCGUAUCCUUGAGUCUGCAGACGUAAGCCAGGAGGAAGACAGGGCAGCAGAUCCACAAGAGCCUUCAUCUGCUCGGCUGGAGAACCAGUGCCAUGGGCCUGGCUGGCCUCUCCUCCCGUCCACACCUCCUGCUUCCUCAUGGAGUCCCGGAUGGUGGUCAGGAGCUGCGCCCCAGGACAGUGAGCACCUGUGGCCCGACUACAUCCCACAAUGUCUUCCUGUGAGUCAAGAGGCCCCUGAGGGCAGGGCUCCUGCACCGGAAGCAGCAGAAGGCAGCUGCUCACGAGAGGAAGUCAAGUGUGGCCCCUGAGGGUGGACCAGCAGACAGCCUGUACUGACAGGAAAGCGUGUGGGGGCAAGGACACGGCCCAGGGUGACUACCAUGAGGAAAGCUGCAGUAAAAGAAAUGUACAGAACAUCUUCCAGUGACAGGAAGCCGCCCACUUAGUAUGGAGCCACCCAGGGAAAUAGGUGACAAGGUGGGAGCCACGUGACGGGAGCUUUGGAGUCUGAAUUUUCCUCAGCAAUAGGUGGGAGCCAGCAAUGGCUGUAGAGCAGGAGACUAAUGACUUCAGAUGCACACUGCAGCUGGUGUCCACGCGGGAGGGUGAGUGAGACUGU